Molecule: small nucleolar RNA, 136 nt
Filed under: Microtus ochrogaster (prairie vole)
Lineage: Eukaryota; Metazoa; Chordata; Mammalia; Rodentia; Cricetidae
Source: RNAcentral
GUAACUGUUCCUGGUAGUGGUUGCAUUUGUUAGUUAUACAGUGCAACCGCAGACGGUCACAUACAUCAAAACAGUUGGUUCCUGCCGACAGAGUCUGUAUAGUUAUCAGAUUUUCUGUGCGAUGGCUCCAUACAUA